UCCCUGAUAGCUCAGCUGGUAAAGCAUCUGCCUGCAAUGCAGGAGACCUGGAUUUGAUCCCUGGGUUGGGAA
This 72-nucleotide transfer RNA is filed under the name Bos taurus (domestic cattle). It matches the Rfam family "tRNA". Rfam says of the family: Transfer RNA (tRNA) molecules are approximately 80 nucleotides in length. Their secondary structure includes four short double-helical elements and three loops (D, anti-codon, and T loops). Further hydrogen bonds mediate the characteristic L-shaped molecular structure. tRNAs have two regions of fundamental functional importance: the anti-codon, which is responsible for specific mRNA codon recognition, and the 3' end, to which the tRNAs corresponding amino acid is attached (by aminoacyl-tRNA synthetases). tRNAs cope with the degeneracy of the genetic code in two manners: having more than one tRNA (with a specific anti-codon) for a particular amino acid; and 'wobble' base-pairing, i.e. permitting non-standard base-pairing at the 3rd anti-codon position. The record is from Rfam by way of RNAcentral. RNAcentral also lists the same sequence under 2 other names. Lineage: Eukaryota; Metazoa; Chordata; Mammalia; Artiodactyla; Bovidae.